UACGAAGGGGGCUAGCGUUGUUCGGAAUUACUGGGCGUAAAGGGCGCGUAGGCGGUGUGUCAAGUCAGGCGUGAAAGCCCCGGGCUCAACCUGGGAACCGCGCUUGAGACUGGCACGCUCGAGUUCGGGAGAGGAUGGUGGAAUUCCCAGUGUAGAGGUGAAAUUCGUAGAUAUUGGGAAGAACACCGAUGGCGAAGGCAGCCAUCUGGACCGACACUGACGCUGAGGCGCGAAAGCGUGGGGAGCAAACCGG
Molecule: ribosomal RNA, 253 nt
Filed under: uncultured bacterium
Lineage: Bacteria
Description: partial 16S ribosomal RNA
Rfam family: Bacterial small subunit ribosomal RNA
Source: RNAcentral